Molecule: long non-coding RNA, 286 nt
Filed under: Elaeis guineensis (African oil palm)
Lineage: Eukaryota; Viridiplantae; Streptophyta; Magnoliopsida; Arecales; Arecaceae
Description: long non-coding RNA (EGUI_LNC027235)
Source: RNAcentral
UUCCCUCCAAGUUGUUAGUCAAAAAAUCUCAGUAUAUUGUGGGCCUCCCUAAAAUUAAUGUAUGUGAGAUAAAUAGAAAUCCUUUUUUGAAGACUAAUGUCCAUAUGGUGCCUACCAUUAAAAAGUUUAAAUUUUAAAUCAAUUCUAACAGACAUAUAGGCUAUUCUUAAUGUUAUAAGCCAUGAUCUUUUGCCAUGUUGAUCAAAUACUCAUAAUAGAAUGGUUGCACGUGUACAAUGAAUAAUAAUUAUGUGUUAUACACUCUUAUUUUCAAUAUUGCAAUUCU